GAUGAACGCUGGCGGCGUGCCUAAUACAUGCAAGUCGAGCGAACAGACGAAGAGCUUGCUCCUCUGACGUUAGCGGCGCACGGGUGAGUAACACGUGUAUAACCUACCUAUAAGACUGGGAUAACUUCGGGAAUCCGGAGCUAAUACCGGAUAAUAUAUUGAACCGCAUGGUUCGAUAGUGAAAGACGGUUUUGCUGUAACUUAUAGAUGGAUCUCCGCCGCAUUAGCUAGUUGGUAAGGUAACGGCUUACGAAGGCAACGAGGCGUAGACGACCUGAGAGGGUGAUAGGCCGCACUGGAGCUGGACCACGGUCCAGACUCCUACGGGAGGCAGCAGUAGGGAAUCUUCCGCAGUGGGCGAAAGCCUGGCGGAGCAACGCCGCGUGAGUGAUGAAGAUCUUCGGUUCGUGAAACUCUGUUAUGAGGGAAGAACAAAUGUGUAAGGAAAUGUGCACGUAUUGACGGUACCGAAUCAGAAAGCCACGGCUAACUACGUG
RNAcentral lists this ribosomal RNA (497 nucleotides) under uncultured bacterium. Its description in RNAcentral is "partial 16S ribosomal RNA". It matches the Rfam family "Bacterial small subunit ribosomal RNA", at positions 28 to 507 of the family's 1533-position model. The record is from RNAcentral.